UCAAUAGGACAGAAGAGCUCCUUGGCACUGGAUGCCUCCGGGUCUGGUUGAGAGAGGAAUGGUUAGGAGACUGUUCUGAGGAUACGCAGACAUCAUCCAAAGCUUCCUACAUUCAGAUGAGGACAGAGGUUGGGCCAGAGCUUUGUAAGCUUGUUACCUAAGGAUGGUUCUGACCAUGUAAGCAGAUCACAGAAGCUGGAGGCAAAGGAUGCCAAGAUGGGAAAGCCACAUAAUGGAAGGAUCCUGGAUUUCAGAGCUGUCACUUGGAGGAGGGGCACCCAGUGAAGGUGUCUUAUCUAACCCACACCAUAUCUUCAUGAAGUGGCCAUAUGGAUUUGAUCCCUAUCCUUCAGAGGUGCUCAGCCUAAGGGAACACGGAUAGUAGAUUAAGCACUGACCAGAGCCAGCCUUGACAAUGUGCUGAUGGCAACCUAGAACAUAAGCAGAGGAGUAUACAGGACAAGAACUUGAUGGUCUCGGGAAAAUGGACAACAUGACUCAGGUGAAAAAGAUUGAUCAUCAGAUGUUUCUUAUGUAUCAACCUGAUAUUUAAAUCCAUGAAGGACAGAGACGACAAAGGCAGGUGGAAUAGAUAGAGAAGAGAUUCAAGGUCUGAGCUCUACAUUACUCAAACUGUUAGAGAUUAGGAAGAAGAGGAAGACCUGGCAAAAGAAUGUCCUGGGAUGUAGAAAGAAAACCAGAAGCUUGUGUUCUCUGGAAACCAAAUGAAGAAAGGGCUUCCAGAAGGACAGACAAAGUGUAGUGUGUCAAAGGCUCCUGAGCAAUCAGAGGAGAGCACAAAGGGGCUCACAGGACUUUGGUAUCUGGAUCACCCAGUGACACUUCCUGAUCACGAGAAACUGUCAGACCAACAGGGGCACUUUCUGAAACCAGCAGUUCUUCAGUGCCCAAAUGCAACCUUGAUGGUUUGAUUUUGGAGGAUGGCAAUUCAUUAACAGCACUCCCCAGUGAUAAAUAUGAAAACCAAUAAAACCCCCCACCCAAGGCAAUCUCUCCCAGCUCCUCGCUUUGAGUAAAGUGAGUAACCUCCAUUUCUGCCAACUCCUGUCUUGUCUGAAGCCACAUUUCCCCAGCAAUGUCACAUAUGCAUUUCUUGAUCCUGGUCAUUUCUCCUCUUGGGAGAUGAAUCAUAAAGAAAAUGAGAUCUGUGUGCCCUGGUGACUAUGGAUGCAAGAGUCUGCUGCCCUGGAGGGAACAGCUGGAAAAGUAGAUGGUGAAGACGUGUGGGGGGGAAACAGUGGAGAAGGCAUCUUUGCAGGGGAUCAAGGUGACAGAGUGAUUAGUUACACUGUUUUGACAUGUGAGAACAGGGGGUUAUAAAAAUGGAUACAGGAAGAGGGAGAGAAAGUAAGGACCAAAACAUGAAGCCAGUCAUGAAUGUUUUUACAUAAAAAGCAGCAGAUUUACGGCAAAUAUGUGAUGUUUCCACAUUUUCUGCCUCUAGUUAGCAGGGGCAGCACAAAGAGCAUUACUGUGGAGCUGAACUUUGGGUAAAAGAUUAACAGCCAGUCCUUUCUCUCCAGUGUCUGCUUCCUUCUGGGCUUGCCCUGGGGGAAAAGGAGGGCUGGCAUGGAUAUGCCUGCAGCCCUCACCCUAGAUGUUCUUCCACGCCUCUCUGUUCAUUCAUUGCUUAGUCAUUCCUCAGGCAUGGAUUGAGACCACUGUGUGCCCAGGACCGACCUGGCCUAGGAUGGACAUAGAGAUGGAAAAGGCACAGGGAGCAGGUGACAGAGACAAAUCAAGGUCAUGGAGAAUAGCAGAGUAAGAUAGAAGAUGAAGGCAGGAGAUGGGGUUCUUGAGAAAGCGAGAGCAGGACUGACCCGUGUCUGCCUCACCUGUUAUUGCUGUAGCCUCUUCUCCUUGGAGUAUCCCUCCUGCUCUUGCAUCACCUUAGGAACUUGGAUCAGAGAGGAAAGUUACGGCCUGGAUAUGUUGUAGUAGGAGGGGACAAACAUGUUUGGAGACAGAAAUGCUUGGGGAGCGGGUGUUUUUGGGGGAUGAGACUUUCCAGGUCUCUCAAUUCACACUAUGUAGGUAGUUCACUGCACAGCUUAAAUAAGAGACAACUCUCCGGAGUGGUUGGCUCUCAUCCAAAAAAUGUGUUUUGGGCCUCAGAUUUCCAACGGAAGGGCUGAAGCGUGACUGGCCUGAUGUCAACUACUGAAGUCCACCUGCCCCUGCCCUAUCAGGUGUGGAAAUGCUGGGGUUCCUCUCUCAGAACCUACUUCCUGAGAUGUCGAAAUAUACCCAAGAGUAUUUCUGGGCCUUCUCCAAUCCGAAACUGUUUAGUUUUUGUGUGUGUGUGCCUACUUGGCCACACUAGAAGACAGAGGUGGCCUGGGUGAAAUGCAGGUUUCUAGAGGCUCUCUGACAAAGCUCAGGCCACCAGCCCCAGGCCAGCCUGUGGGUAGUCCUGGCUGACAGUCACUUCAUACCUCACCUGGGCUUUUUGCCAAAUUCAAAGUGUGUGUAUAUGUGGAGUGCUGGGUUCCCACCACUGACAGUCUGUAAGUCAUUCACUUAGCUCAAUUUGUCUUACUUUCUUCUGAAAUUUCUUCCUUCUUGUUCUUUUUCCCAGGAGAAACCAGGAGAAGGCAGUCCUAGGGCAGUCUCCGGGCCAGCUUUCCCUAAUAAGAAGGCAGAGCUCCUCUUCACCCAGACUUCAGACCUAUAGAGGCAGCCUGGGGUCCCGGGAUGCCCUUGCACUCAGAGAUGUCCCCAGAGUCCUAGGGAAAUGGAGGAUAACUAGGAGGAAGCUGUUCAUGGCUGGCGAUGAGGUCUAUACCUUCUUGUCCGUCUCAGUGCUGUCUGCUAUUGAAUUUUUGUGCAGAUCACAUUAACUUAAAGCCAGUUCUCAAGAAGCUCCCCCUGCCGCCGGCAUAUCCACCAGUUGCUCCCCUUUCCUGCCAUUAAUCAGGGUCUGCUAGUUAGAGAACAAAUUCCUAUUUGUCCAAACAGUUGCCAACACCCCCACCCCAAGGUAGUUAAAUGAGGAUGAAUGGGUCAUUCUUAUUAAAAAAUGACUUAAAUUUCUCAAAUUCUAUUUAUGUUUCUUUUACAUCCCAAUUUUCUAUAGAUUUAGUGACUCCAAAUGAUAAGGUCUCAAGCUCAUAAUAAUUUAUCCCUUGGGUAACACACAAGGCUUGGUGGUAUUUCAGUAAUAUUCAUGACAACAGCAGCUGUCGUGCUAAUAAGGACUGAUGUCACCAGAGCACUUUCUAUGUGCCAAGCAUGGUGCACAACACUUUACAUACAUUAUGUCAUUUAAUUUUCACAAAACAAUUACAAUAACAAGAUCAAAGAUUCCUGGUCAUAGAUUGCCAUAACAGAUACAGUAAUCACGAAAAAGUUUGAGAUAUUGUGAGAAUUACGCAGAUAUUGUGAGAAAUAUGACCCAGAGACAAGAAGCGAGCACAUGCCGUUAGAAAAAUGGCACCAACAGACUUGCUUGCUGCAGGGUUACACAUACCUUCAAUUUGUAAAAAAAAAAAACUGUAAUAUCUGCAAAACGCAAUAAAGAAAAGUGUAAUAAAAUGC
Molecule: long non-coding RNA, 3558 nt
Filed under: Homo sapiens (human)
Lineage: Eukaryota; Metazoa; Chordata; Mammalia; Primates; Hominidae
Description: non-protein coding PROX1-AS1:36
Source: RNAcentral